UAUUUGCCCAAGGUCUGUCCGCAGAUCACGGGGACUAUAGGGAGACCCGCUGGCGCGAAGUCAGAGGAAGGCGAGGGCAACGGUAGGUCAGUAUGCUCCGAAUGCUAUGGGCUACACGCGCAAUACAAAGGACGGGACAAUGGGCUGCAACUCCGAGAGGAAUGACGCUAUCCCGAAACCCGUUCGUAGUUCGGAUUGAGGGCUGUAACUCGCCCUCAUGAAGCUGGAUUAGGUAGUAAUCGCGUCUCAAAAAGGCGCGGUGAAUAUGCCCCUGCUCCUUGCACACACCGCCCGUCAAACCAUCUUAGUUGUGGGUGGGUGAGGCUGCCUCUCUUUCGAGAUGUGGUAUUCGAGCCUGCCUUCGACAAGGAGGGUUAAGUCGUAACAAGGUA
RNAcentral lists this ribosomal RNA (392 nucleotides) under uncultured archaeon. RNAcentral's name for it is "bacterial SSU rRNA". It matches the Rfam family "Archaeal small subunit ribosomal RNA", at positions 1061 to 1445 of the family's 1478-position model. The record is from RNAcentral.